Molecule: ribosomal RNA, 444 nt
Filed under: Bacillus sonorensis
Lineage: Bacteria; Bacillati; Bacillota; Bacilli; Caryophanales; Bacillaceae
Description: bacterial SSU rRNA
Rfam family: Bacterial small subunit ribosomal RNA
Source: RNAcentral
ACCGUUCGAACAGGGCGGUACCUUGACGGUACCUAACCAGAAAGCCACGGCUAACUACGUGCCAGCAGCCGCGGUAAUACGUAGGUGGCAAGCGUUGUCCGGAAUUAUUGGGCGUAAAGCGCGCGCAGGCGGUUUCUUAAGUCUGAUGUGAAAGCCCCCGGCUCAACCGGGGAGGGUCAUUGGAAACUGGGGAACUUGAGUGCAGAAGAGGAGAGUGGAAUUCCACGUGUAGCGGUGAAAUGCGUAGAGAUGUGGAGGAACACCAGUGGCGAAGGCGACUCUCUGGUCUGUAACUGACGCUGAGGCGCGAAAGCGUGGGGAGCGAACAGGAUUAGAUACCCUGGUAGUCCACGCCGUAAACGAUGAGUGCUAAGUGUUAGAGGGUUUCCGCCCUUUAGUGCUGCAGCAAACGCAUUAAGCACUCCGCCUGGGGAGUACGGUCGC